GAUGAACGCUAGCGGCAGGCUUAACACAUGCAAGUCGAGGGACGGUAGCAAUACUGGACCGGCAAACGGGUGCGGAACACGUACGCAACAUACCCUGAACUGGGGCAUAGCCUUCUGAAAAGGAGAUUAAUACCCCAUAAGAUAAUAGAGUGGCAUCACUUAGUUAUUAAAGAUUUAUUGGUUCAGGAUUGGCGUGCGUCCUAUUAGCUAGUUGGUAAGGGUAACGGCCUACCAAGGCGACGAUAGGUAGCUGGUGUGAGAGCACGACCAGCCACACGGGCACUGAGACACGGGCCCGACUCCUACGGGAGGCAGCAGUGAGGAAUAUUGGUCAAUGGAGGCAACUCUGAACCAGCCAUGCCGCGUGAAGGAUGAAGGCGUUCUGCGUUGUAAACUUCUUUUGCGGGGGAAGAAACCUGGGAUUUCUAUUCCAGCCGACGGUACCCCGAGAAUAAGCACCGGCUAACUCCGUGCCAGCAGCCGCAGUAAU
This 490-nucleotide ribosomal RNA is filed under the name uncultured bacterium. Its description in RNAcentral is "bacterial SSU rRNA". It matches the Rfam family "Bacterial small subunit ribosomal RNA", at positions 28 to 524 of the family's 1533-position model. The record is from RNAcentral.